UGGGGAAUAUUCCGCAAUGGGGGAAACCCUGACGGAGCAAUGCCGCGUGAGUGAAGAAGGCCUUUGGGUCGUAAAACUCUGUCUUGAGGGACGAAAAAAAUGACGGUACCUCAAAAGAAAGCCCCGGCUAACUACGUGCCAGCAGCCGCGGUAAAACGUAGGGGGCGAGCGUUGUCCGGAAUUACUGGGCGUAAAGGGCGUGCAGGCGGCCUGUGUAGUCAAGCGGUGAAAACCCGAGGCUUAACUUCGGGAUGGCCCUUGAAACCAACAGGCUUGAGGACAGGAGAGGGGAGUGGAAUUUCCGGUGUAGCGGUGAAAUGCGUAGAUACCGGAAGGAACACCAGUGGCGAAGGCGGCUCCCUGGACUGGUCCUGACGCUGAGGCGCGAAAGCGUGGGGAGCAAACAGGAUUAGAUACCCUGGUAGUCCACGCCGUAAACGAUGGGUGCUAGGUGUUGGGGGUAUCGACCCCUCCAGUGCCGCAGUUAACACAAUAAGCACCCCGCCUGGGGAGUACGACCGCAAGGUUG
This 529-nucleotide ribosomal RNA is filed under the name uncultured Clostridia bacterium. RNAcentral describes it as "bacterial SSU rRNA". It matches the Rfam family "Bacterial small subunit ribosomal RNA", at positions 355 to 896 of the family's 1533-position model. Lineage: Bacteria; Bacillati; Bacillota; Clostridia. The record is from RNAcentral.